AUUGAACGUUGGCGGCAGGCCUAAUACAUGCAAGUCGAACGGCAGCACAGAGAGCUUGCUCUUGGGUGGCGAGUGGCGGACGGGUGAGUAACGCGUAGGAAUCUACCCAGUAGCGGGGGAUAGCCCGGGGAAACUCGGAUUAAUACCGCAUACGCCCCACGGGGGAAAGGCCGGGAUCUUCGGACCGGUCACUAUUGGAGGAGCCUGCGUUGGAUUAGCUUGUUGGUGGGGUAAAGGCCUACCAAGGCUACGAUCCAUAGCUGGUCUGAGAGGACGAUCAGCCACACUGGAACUGAGACACGGCCCAGACUCCUACGGGAGGCAGCAGUGGGGAAUUUUGGACAAUGGGCGCAAGCCUGAUCCAGCCAUGCCGCGUGAGUGAAGAAGGCCUCGG
This 394-nucleotide ribosomal RNA is filed under the name uncultured bacterium. Its description in RNAcentral is "bacterial SSU rRNA". It matches the Rfam family "Bacterial small subunit ribosomal RNA", at positions 29 to 420 of the family's 1533-position model. The record is from RNAcentral.